UGAUUGCAAUUCAGUGAAUCAUCGAGUCUUUGAACGCACAUUGCGCCCCCUGGUAUUCCGGGGGGCAUGCCUGUCCGAGCGUCAUUGCUGCCCUCAAGCCCGGCUUGUGUGUUGGGCCCCGUCCUCCGAUCUCCGGGGGACGGGCCCGAAAGGCAGCGGCGGCACCGCGUCCGGUCCUCGAGCGUAUGGGGCUUUGUCACCCGCUCUGUAGGCCCGGCCGGCGCUUGCCGAUCAACCCAAAUUUUUAUCCAGGUUGACCUCGGAUCAGGUAGGGAUACCCGCUGAACUUAAGCAUAUCAAUAAGGCGGAGGA
Molecule: unclassified non-coding RNA, 312 nt
Filed under: Penicillium sp. M-02
Lineage: Eukaryota; Fungi; Ascomycota; Eurotiomycetes; Eurotiales; Aspergillaceae
Description: sequence contains 18S rRNA gene, ITS1, 5.8S rRNA gene, ITS2, 28S rRNA gene
Rfam family: 5.8S ribosomal RNA (bases 1-84)
Source: RNAcentral